UUCUCUGCAGGAUUUUCAAUGAAUUGAUGUUUAUAAGGACACUGUAAUCUGAGUUUUUAUGCUACACUGGUGACACCUACUGUCAGGUUCUCGUGCUAAUGUGAAACCACAGGAUAAAGAGAAAGCGGCUUCUAAACAGGAAGGGAAAUGAGUGCAAUGGCCGAGGGAGACCCAAGUGAGGAACAAUAUGGCUCAUAUGAAUUGAUAACGGACUACCCAGUUGUCUAUGAAUACACAG
Xenopus tropicalis (tropical clawed frog) is the source of this 238-nucleotide long non-coding RNA. RefSeq lists it as uncharacterized. The transcript is spliced from 3 exons. NCBI's taxonomy places the organism in Eukaryota, Metazoa, Chordata, Amphibia, Anura, Pipidae. The record is from RefSeq and is a predicted model, not a curated record.